GAUGAAGAACGUAGCGAAAUGCGAUAAGUAGUGUGAAUUGCAGAAUUUAGUGAAUCAUCGAAUCUUUGAACGCACAUUGCGCCCUUUGGUAUUCCAAAGGGCAUGCCUGUUCGAGCGUCAUUUGUACCCUCAAGCUUUGCUUGGUGUUGGGCGUCUUGUCUCUAGCUUUGCUGGAGACUCGCCUUAAAGUAAUUGGCAGCCGGCCUACUGGUUUCGGAGCGCAGCACAAGUCGCACUCUCUAUCAGCAAAGGUCUAGCAUCCAUUAAGCCUUUUUUUCAACUUUUGACCUCGGAUCAGGUAGGGAUACCCGCUGAACUUAAGCAUAUCAAUAAGCGGAGGA
RNAcentral lists this unclassified non-coding RNA (341 nucleotides) under soil metagenome. RNAcentral's name for it is "partial contains 5.8S ribosomal RNA, internal transcribed spacer 2, and large subunit ribosomal RNA". The stretch from base 1 to 120 matches the Rfam family "5.8S ribosomal RNA", at positions 35 to 154 of the family's 154-position model. The record is from RNAcentral.